RNAcentral lists this ribosomal RNA (490 nucleotides) under uncultured bacterium. RNAcentral describes it as "bacterial SSU rRNA". It matches the Rfam family "Bacterial small subunit ribosomal RNA", at positions 29 to 518 of the family's 1533-position model. The record is from RNAcentral.
AUUGAACGCUGGCGGCAUGCUUUACACAUGCAAGUCGAACGGUAACAGGCCUUCGGGUGCUGACGAGUGGCGAACGGGUGAGUAAUGCAUCGGAACGUGCCCAAUCGUGGGGGAUAACGUAGCGAAAGUUACGCUAAUACCGCAUAAGCCCUGAGGGGGAAAGCAGGGGAUCGCAAGACCUUGCGCGAAUGGAGCGGCCGAUGUCAGAUUAGCUAGUUGGUGGGGUAAAGGCCUACCAAGGCGACGAUCUGUAGCGGGUCUGAGAGGAUGAUCCGCCACACUGGGACUGAGACACGGCCCAGACUCCUACGGGAGGCAGCAGUGGGGAAUAUUGGACAAUGGGCGCAAGCCUGAUCCAGCAAUGCCGCGUGUGUGAAGAAGGCCUGCGGGUUGUAAAGCACUUUCAGUGGGAAGAACAGAUUCGGGUCAAUACCCGGAGCCCUGACGUUACCCACAGAAGAAGCACCGGCAACUCCGUGCCAGCAGCCGU